This 497-nucleotide ribosomal RNA is filed under the name uncultured bacterium. RNAcentral's name for it is "partial 16S ribosomal RNA". It matches the Rfam family "Bacterial small subunit ribosomal RNA", at positions 28 to 507 of the family's 1533-position model. The record is from RNAcentral.
GAUGAACGCUGGCGGCGUGCCUAAUACAUGCAAGUCGAGCGAACAGACGAGGAGCUUGCUCCUCUGACGUUAGCGGCGGACGGGUGAGUAACACGUGGAUAACCUACCUAUAAGACUGGGAUAACUUCGGGAAACCGGAGCUAAUACCGGAUAAUAUAUUGAACCGCAUGGUUCAAUAGUGAAAGACGGUUUUGCUGUCACUUAUAGAUGGAUCCGCGCCGCAUUAGCUAGUUGGUAAGGUAACGGCUUACCAAGGCGACAAUGCGUAGCCGACCUGAGAGGGUGAUCGGCCACACUUGAACUGAGACACGGUCCAGACUCCUACGGGAGGCAGCAGUAGGGAAUCUUCCGCAAUGGGCGAAAGCCUGACGGAGCAACGCCGCGUGAGUGAUGAAGGUCUUCGGAUCGUAAAACUCUGUUAUUAGGGAAGAACAAAUGUGUAAGUAACUAUGCACGUCUUGACGGUACCUAAUCAGAAAGCCACGGCUAACUACGUG